GGAUGAACGCGGCGGCGUGCCUAAUACAUGCAAGUAGAACGCUGAAGGAGGAGCUUGCUUCUCUGGAUGAGUUGCGAACGGGUGAGUAACGCGUAGGUAACCUGCCUGGUAGCGGGGGAUAACUAUUGGAAACGAUAGCUAAUACCGCAUAAGAGCAGUUGUUGCAUGACAGCUGUUUAAAAGGUGCAAUUGCACCACUACCAGAUGGACCUGCGUUGUAUUAGCUAGUUGGUGAGGUAACGGCUCACCAAGGCGACGAUACAUAGCCGACCUGAGAGGGUGAUCGGCCACACUGGGACUGAGACACGGCCCAGACUCCUACGGGAGGCAGCAGUAGGGAAUCUUCGGCAAUGGGGGCAACCCUGACCGAGCAACGCCGCGUGAGUGAAGAAGGUUUUCGGAUCGUAAAGCUCUGUUGUAAGAGAAGAACGAGUGUGAGAGUGGAAAGUUCACACUGUGACGGUAUCUUACCAGAAAGGGACGGCUAACUACGUGCCAGCAGCCGCGGUAAUACGUAGGUCCCGAGCGUUAUCCGGAUUUAUUGGGCGUAAAGCGAGCGCAGGCGGUUAGAUAAGUCUGAAGUUAAAGGCUGUGGCUUAACCAUAGUACGCUUUGGAAACUGUUUAACUUGAGUGCAAGAGGGGAGAGUGGAAUUCCAUGUGUAGCGGUGAAAUGCGUAGAUAUAUGGAGGAACACCGGUGGCGAAAGCGGCUCUCUGGCUUGUAACUGACGCUGAGGCUCGAAAGCGUGGGGAGCAAACAGG
This 763-nucleotide ribosomal RNA is filed under the name uncultured Streptococcus sp. RNAcentral describes it as "bacterial SSU rRNA". It matches the Rfam family "Bacterial small subunit ribosomal RNA", at positions 27 to 776 of the family's 1533-position model. The record is from RNAcentral. Lineage: Bacteria; Bacillati; Bacillota; Bacilli; Lactobacillales; Streptococcaceae.